Molecule: long non-coding RNA, 1202 nt
Filed under: Heterocephalus glaber (naked mole-rat)
Lineage: Eukaryota; Metazoa; Chordata; Mammalia; Rodentia; Bathyergidae
Description: lncRNA (ENSHGLG00100040402.1)
Source: RNAcentral
CCCCUUUGAUCACUGUGAAUGUAGGCAGCAUUUACCUAUCAGGGUUUCACUGAAUACCUGCUUGUGUCCUCCAGACACAGCUCUGAAAAAUCAGAAAAGGCCCUUGCCUCCCUGAGCUCAAAAGGCAGCCAGCAGCCACUAGGAGCUAAGAAUGGUGACUUGGACUGUGCUUAGAGAUAAGAAAAGGGCCUGGCUGGGGGCAGGGAGGGGACCUACUUUAGCUUCAGUCUCAGAAAAGCCUCCCUGAGGCGAUAAUGGAGCUGAGUAAGGUGAGGAGGUAAGCACGUGCUGCUCGGGGUGGGCCAGAAAGGGCCAAAGCAAAGACCUCGUGGCAAAAUGACGAGGCCCCAAAGCUAUGGGUGUGGCUGGAAUGGAAUGAAGGUCAGAGCUUCGGGAGGCUCCUACCACGAGGCUGAGGGCGGCUGGAAAGGCUGCUCUGCUGUUCCCCUGGCUAUGCCGGCGCCACGGUCCCAAUAAUCACCCUCGGGAGUCAGCCUUGGCUUCACGUCGGGAUCUCCCACUUAGACAUUUUAGGAAAGUUACUUAGUUUUCUCACGUUAAACCAGGUUUCUUCUGUGUAACGUCAGAUGAGAGGCGAUUAUUCCUUUUAUCCUUGGCCUCCGCAGCGGCCCGUCACAGAGCGAGCUCAGACUGUAAAAGACACGCAAUCUCUCAACCUCAGGAUGCCAGAAGCAGGGCAAGAGGAGUGAGUUCCCCAGGAGAAGCUGCUGCUAACUGAUGGGACUGUUGGCGGUGCCACUGCAGUGUCCCUGGUACCGUGAGGCCUCGGGCUUGGCCUGGAGUCUAAGUUGAUCUAGGCAUCCCGGCUCCUGCUCCAUCCCAGGACCCGAGCGCGGUGGCGACGUUUGUCAUCUCCACCCCGGCUCCGCCAGGAGACCCGCGCCCCUGGGCCGGAUCAAGAAGGUGGAGGCUGGGCCGAGGGGUGGGAGCCGUGGGAGCCGGCGGCAGCGCAGGGAUCAAAUUCAGAGCCUUGUGCUUUUGAAGCAGGCGCGGUGCAACUGAGCUAAAUCCCCAGCCUUUAUAACAUAGUCUUAUCAAUAAUAGGUAGGAGUGCAAGUCCAACUUUUUUUCUUUUUUUCCCCUUGGGACAAGGCCACACUAAAUUGCCCAGGCUGACCUGGAUAUCAAUCCUCCUGCCUCGGCCUCCUGAGUGCUGGGAUUAAGGACGCCCAACUCCACGC